UUCGGAGGGGGGUGAGUAACGCGUGAGAACCUACCUUCAGAAUGGGGACAACAGUUGGAAACGACUGCUAAUACCCAAUGUGCCGAAAGGUGAAAGAUUUAUCGUCUGAAGAUGGGCUCGCGUCUGAUUAGCUAGAUGGUGGGGUAAGAGCCUACCAUGGCAACGAUCAGUAGCUGGUCUGAGAGGAUGAGCAGCCACACUGGGACUGAGACACGGCCCAGACUCCUACGGGAGGCAGCAGUGGGGAAUUUUCCGCAAUGGGCGAAAGCCUGACGGAGCAAUACCGCGUGAGGGAGGAAGGUCCUUGGAUUGUAAACCUCUUUAUCAGGGAAGAAGUUCUGACGGUACCUGAUGAAUAAGCAUCGGCUAACUCCGUGCCAGCAGCCGCGGUAAUACGGAGGAUGCAAGCGUUAUCCGGAAUUAUUGGGCGUAAAGCGUCCGUAGGUGGUUAUGCAAGUCUGCCGUUAAAGAAUGGAGCUUAACUCCAUAGGAGCGGUGGAACUGCAAGACUAGAGUACAGUAGGGGUAGCAGGAAUUCCCAGUGUAGCGGUGAAAUGGGUAGAUAUUGGGAAGAACAUCGGUGGCGAAAGCGUGCUACUGGGCUGAAACUGACACUGAGGGACGAAAGCUAGGGUAGCGAAAGGGAUUAGAUACCCCCGGUAGUCAC
Molecule: ribosomal RNA, 667 nt
Filed under: Synechocystis pevalekii PUPCCC 062.1/1
Lineage: Bacteria; Bacillati; Cyanobacteriota; Cyanophyceae; Synechococcales; Merismopediaceae
Description: bacterial SSU rRNA
Rfam family: Bacterial small subunit ribosomal RNA
Source: RNAcentral